GUCCGGAGGCCGGGCAAACGAAUUCUGCCGAAUAUCACGGGCUACUUGUUGUAAACCGACUCAGAUUGCUUUCCAUGUAGCAACCGACUAGGAUUAGAUCCUAUCCGAUUGUAAUCCUAGGCCAUCAGCCUAUAUAAGGCAGCCAGGAGCGCCCCCCGAGGGUAACGCACCUCAACUCAUCCCACCUCACGUUAACUCUUCGCAUCCCAUACCAGCAAUACAAUCCACCAGAACACACGACGUAGGGCAUUACUCUCUGGAGGUCCGAACCUGUCUAAACCUUGCGCCCCUGUGUUACCAUUCGAGCUCUUAGUCUCACAAUCUCC
Molecule: long non-coding RNA, 326 nt
Filed under: Setaria viridis
Lineage: Eukaryota; Viridiplantae; Streptophyta; Magnoliopsida; Poales; Poaceae
Description: long non-coding RNA (SVIR_LNC002910)
Source: RNAcentral